This 76-nucleotide transfer RNA is filed under the name Candidatus Lloydbacteria bacterium RIFCSPHIGHO2_01_FULL_49_22. RNAcentral describes it as "tRNA-Pro". It matches the Rfam family "tRNA". Rfam says of the family: Transfer RNA (tRNA) molecules are approximately 80 nucleotides in length. Their secondary structure includes four short double-helical elements and three loops (D, anti-codon, and T loops). RNAcentral also lists the same sequence under 1 other name. Lineage: Bacteria; Candidatus Lloydiibacteriota. The record is from RNAcentral.
CGGGGCGUGGUGUAACGGCUAACAUGUCUGGUUUGGGACCAGAUGACUCCGGGUUCGAAUCCCGGCGCCCCGACUA